RNAcentral lists this long non-coding RNA (2484 nucleotides) under Homo sapiens (human). Its description in RNAcentral is "HSALNT0056393". The record is from RNAcentral. Lineage: Eukaryota; Metazoa; Chordata; Mammalia; Primates; Hominidae.
UUGGCAUUUUUUUCUAGUUCUAUAAAGAAUGAUGAUGGUAUAUUGAUAGGAAUUGCAUUGAAUUUGUAGACUGCUUUUGGCAGUAUGGUCAUUUUCACAAUAUUGAGUCUAUGCAUCCAUGAGCAUGGAAUGCGUUUCCAUUUGUUUAUGUCAUCUAUGAUUUCUUUCAACAGUGUUUUGUAGUUUUCCUUGUAGGGGUCUUUCACUUCCUUGGUUAGGUAUAUUCCUACGUAUUUUAUUUUUACAGCUAUUAUAAAAGGGUUUGAUUUGAUUCUCAGCCUGGUAGAUGUUGGUGUAUAGCACUGCUACUGAUUUGUGCACAUAGAUUUUGUAUCUUGAUAAAUGGAUUUAUUGUAUAUUUCUAAAUAGCAAUAAGAUUUGAAAUAUUCCCAACACAAAGAAAUGAUCAAUGUUUGAGGUGAUUAAUAUCCUAAAGACCCUGAUUUGAUCAUUACACAUUGCAUGCAUGUACCAGAAUCUCACAUGGACCCCAUAAAUGUGUACAAUUAUUCUCUAUCAAAAACGUUUUUAAGAAACAUGCAGGAAUACACUGUACCUCUUCCUUGCUGUCUCUGGAUAUUGUCACAGGAGGACUUGACAUGCGGAUUGUGGCAGCCUCUGUGACCAAGAGCAGAAGACAAUAGCAGCAUAGAAACCUCAAAUGAAAAACCUAACAUCUCAAGCUACUAAUUUAGCCAACCUUGGCAUCAGCUAUCUCUGGUCUUAGUACAUGAGGUGAUAAGCCCCCACUGUUCAAGUUGGGUGGCCAUCAAUUGCUGCAGAAUAGAAGUUAAUGAGGCUUCCUCCUCCUGGAUCCCCUACUAGACCCUGACAUACCCAUUCAGUCACAGGCAGAAAGGGAAGCAGAGGGUAAGGAGACCUGGCUGGCUGUGCCAGACGCAGAUCUUACCUGUCCUGCUUAGAACACUCAAAGCUCAAUUGGUUAACAAAAAAAGGAAAAACACAGUAAGGAGUAUAACACUCCCCAGAUGCAACUUAAUCUAACACUCUAUACUUUAAAUUUUCUGAACAUACAUAGAAAUCAGACCACUACUUCUGCAGAACAUUUUACUGGUAAAAAGAACAGCCCACAUGAGGGAAAACUGAUUUGGUGGAAAGACAACAGAAACAAAAUAUGGGAAAUAGGUAAGGUGAUAACAUGGGGGAGAGGUUUUUCUUGUGUUUCACCAGGAGAAAAUCAGCUUCCUGUUUGGAUACUCACUAGACAUUUGAAGUUCUACAAUGAACCCAUCAGAGAUGCAAAUGAAAGUGCCUCCGCAGAGACAGAAAACCCGUAAUCGAGCAUCAUCGACUCGCAGGGUGAACAAAAUGGUGAUAUCAGAAGAACAGAUGAAGUUACCAUCCACCAAGGAAACGGCACAUGUGGAGAGCCAGGGAGAGGAAGAGAAAGAAAAAGAGACAGAGAUCAGAGAGAGACACAGAAAGUGUAUCCAGCAGCUCAAGAGAGACAUCGACCAGCGAGAAGGGGCCAUGAUGAUGGUGGUGGUUUUGUGAAAACGAAAAGGGGGAUAUGUAGGGAAAAGAAAGAGAGAUCAGACUGUUACUGUGUCUACACAGAAAGGGAAGACAUAAGAGACUCCAUUUUGAAAAAGACCUGUACUUUAAACAAUUGCUUUGCUGAGAUGUUGUUAAUCUGUAGCUUUGCCCCGGCCACCUUGCCCCCAACCACUUUGACCCAACCUGGAGCUCACAAAAACAUGUGUUGUAUGAAAUCAAGGUUUAAGGGAUGUAGGGCUGUGCAGGAUGUGCCUUGUUAACAAAAUGUUUGCAAGCAGUAUACUUGGUAAAAGUCAUCGCCAUUCUCUAGUCUCAAUAAACCAGGGGUACAAUGCACUGUGGAAAGCCGCAGGGACCUCAGCCCUUGAAAGCUGGGUAUUGUCCAAGGUUUCUCCCCAUGUGAUAGUCUGAAAUAUGGCCUCGUGGGAUGAGAAAGACCUGACGGUCCCCCAGCCCGACAACCAUAAAGGGUCUGUGCUGAGGUGGAUUAGUCAAAGAGGAAAGCCUCUUGCAGUUGAGAUAGAGGAAAGCCACUGUCUCCUGCCUGUCUCUGGGAACUGAAUGUCUUGGUAUAAAACCCGAUUGUACAUUUGUUCAAUUCUGAGAUGGGAGAAAAACCGCCCUAUGGUGGGAGGCGAGACAUGUUUACAGCAAUGCUUCCUUGUUAUUCUUUACUCCACUGAGAUGUUUGGGUGGAGAGAAACAUAAAUCUGGCUUAUGUACACGUCCAGUCAUAGUACCUUCCCUUGAACUUCAUUAUGACAUAGAUUCUAUUGCUCACAUGUUUGUUGCUGACCUUCUCCUUAUUAUCACCCUGCCCUCCUACUACAUUCCUUUUUGCUGAAAUAAUGAAGAUAAUAAUCAAUAAAAACUGAGGGAACUCAGAGGCCGUUGCCAGUGCAGAUCCUUUGUAUGUUGAGCGCCGAUCCCCUGGGCCCACUGUUGUUUCUCUACACUUUGUCUCUG